CCCUUAGAUGUUCUGGGCCGCACGCGCGCUACAAUGGUCUUCGCAAACGGAUGCAUUCUCGAAGGAGAAUGCCAAUCUUGGAAUCUAUGCCUUGGUCGGGACAGUUGCUUGCAAUUUUUCGACUCGAACCAGGAAUUCCUUGUAAUCGUGAUUCAUCACAUCACGAUGAAUACGUCCCUGCUCUUUGUACACACCGCCCGUCGCUCCUACCGAUCGAAGAGUUAGGUGAAUUGUUUUGAUCGAUAAGAUUUGACUAUGGUCAACUCUCGUUGUGAAAUUCUGUGAAUCUGACUGUUUAGAGGAAGGAAAAGUCGUAACA
RNAcentral lists this ribosomal RNA (319 nucleotides) under uncultured eukaryote. RNAcentral's name for it is "partial 18S ribosomal RNA". It matches the Rfam family "Eukaryotic small subunit ribosomal RNA", at positions 1470 to 1796 of the family's 1831-position model. The record is from RNAcentral.